ACGAACGCUGGCGGCGUGCUUAACACAUGCAAGUCGAACGGAAAGGCCCUGCUUUUGUGGGGUGCUCGAGUGGCGAACGGGUGAGUAACACGUUAGUAACCUGCCCUUGACUUUGGGAUAACUUCAGGAAACUGGGGCUAAUACCGGAUAGGAGCUCCUGCUGCCUGGUGGGGGUUGGAAAGUUUCGGCGGUUGGGGAUGGACUCGCGGCUUAUCAGCUUGUUGGUGGGGUAGUGGCUUACCAAGGCUUUGACGGGUAGCCGGCCUGAGAGGGUGACCGACCACAUUGGGACUGAGAUACGGCCCAGACUCCUACGGGAGGCAGCAGUGGGGAAUAUUGCACAAUGGGCGGAAGCCUGAUGCAGCAACGCCGCGUGCGGGAUGACGGCCUUCGGGUUGUAAACCGCUUUCGCCUGUGACGAAGCGUGAGUGACGGUAAUGGGUAAAGAAGCACCGGCUAACUACGUG
This 467-nucleotide ribosomal RNA is filed under the name uncultured bacterium. RNAcentral's name for it is "partial 16S ribosomal RNA". It matches the Rfam family "Bacterial small subunit ribosomal RNA", at positions 29 to 507 of the family's 1533-position model. The record is from RNAcentral.